GAAAUGUGAUACUUGGUGUGAAUUGCAGAAUCCCGUGAACCAUCCAAUUUUUGAACACAAGUUACGCCCGAAGCCAUUAGGCCAAGGGCACGUCUGCUUGGGUGUCACACAAUGUCGCCACUGCCCCUCCCCGGGGCACGGUAGAGGAUGCCUUCCCGGAAGCC
RNAcentral lists this ribosomal RNA (164 nucleotides) under Leucaena trichandra. Its description in RNAcentral is "5.8S ribosomal RNA". The stretch from base 1 to 107 matches the Rfam family "5.8S ribosomal RNA", at positions 50 to 154 of the family's 154-position model. Rfam says of the family: 5.8S ribosomal RNA (5.8S rRNA) is a component of the large subunit of the eukaryotic ribosome. It is transcribed by RNA polymerase I as part of the 45S precursor that also contains 18S and 28S rRNA. The record is from RNAcentral. Lineage: Eukaryota; Viridiplantae; Streptophyta; Magnoliopsida; Fabales; Fabaceae.